CCUAACACAUGCAAGUCGAACGGUAACAGGAAACAGCUUGCUUCCUUGCUGACGAGUGGCGGACGGGUGAGUAAUGUCUGGGAAACUGCCUGAUGGAGGGGGAUAACUACUGGAAACGGUAGCUAAUACCGCAUAACGUCGCAAGACCAAAGAGGGGGACCUUCGGGCCUCUUGCCAUCGGAUGUGCCCAGAUGGGAUUAGCUUGUUGGUGGGGUAACGGCUCACCAAGGCGACGAUCCCUAGCUGGUCUGAGAGGAUGACCAGCCACACUGGAACUGAGACACGGUCCAGACUCCUACGGGAGGCAGCAGUGGGGAAUAUUGCACAAUGGGCGCAAGCCUGAUGCAGCCAUGCCGCGUGUAUGAAGAAGGCCUUCGGGUUGUAAAGACC
RNAcentral lists this ribosomal RNA (390 nucleotides) under uncultured bacterium. RNAcentral describes it as "bacterial SSU rRNA". It matches the Rfam family "Bacterial small subunit ribosomal RNA", at positions 47 to 433 of the family's 1533-position model. The record is from RNAcentral.